AAACUGAAGAGUUUGAUCCUGGCUCAGAUUGAACGCUGGCGGUAUGCUUAACACAUGCAAGUCGAACGGCAGCACGAGGAGAGUUUACUCUCUUCGGUGGCGAGUGGCGGACGGGUGAGUAAUGCAUAGGAAUCUACCUUUUAGUCUAGGAUAACUACCCGAAAGGGUGGCUAAUACUGGAUGUGGACUACGGUUUAAAGCAGGGGACCUUCGGGCCUUGCGCUAAGAGAUGAGCCUAUGUGGGAUUAGCUAGUUGGUGAGGUAACGGCUCACCAAGGCGACGAUCUCUAGCUGGUUUGAGAGGAUGAUCAGCCACACUGGGACUGAGACACGGCCCAGACUCCU
RNAcentral lists this ribosomal RNA (345 nucleotides) under Ignatzschineria cameli. RNAcentral describes it as "bacterial SSU rRNA". It matches the Rfam family "Bacterial small subunit ribosomal RNA", at positions 1 to 340 of the family's 1533-position model. Lineage: Bacteria; Pseudomonadati; Pseudomonadota; Gammaproteobacteria; Cardiobacteriales; Ignatzschineriaceae. The record is from RNAcentral.